GUAGGGAAUAUUGGACAAUGGGGGCAACCCUGAUCCAGCGACGCCGCGUGAGUGACGAAGGCCUUCGGGUCGUAAAGCUCUGUUGCAAGGGAAAAACAAAAUGAUGGUACCUUGCUAGAAAGGAUCGGCUAACUUCGUGCCAGCAGCCGCGGUAAGACGAGGGAUCCUAGCGUUGUUCGGAAUUAUUGGGCGUAAAGCGGGUGUAGGUGGCUUUGUAAGUCAGGUGUGAAAGCCUGGGGCUUAACCCCAGAAGUGCAUUUGAUACUGCGAAGCUUGAGUGUUGGAGAGGCUACUAGAAUUCUUGGUGUAGUGGUGAAAUACGUAGAUAUCAAGAGGAAUACCGGAGGCGAAGGCGGGUAGCUGGCCAGACACUGACACUCAGACCCGAAAGCGUGGGGAUCAAACAGGAUUAGAUACCCCUGUAGUCC
Molecule: ribosomal RNA, 428 nt
Filed under: uncultured bacterium
Lineage: Bacteria
Description: partial 16S ribosomal RNA
Rfam family: Bacterial small subunit ribosomal RNA
Source: RNAcentral